UUUAUGCAAUAUCACAGAUUCACAAUACUUCUCUCAUGGGAUAAUCAAUAAUGAGUCAUUUUUCCCAACACCAAACAAAAUGUAUUUCAGCCAAAAUUGUCUCCAACUUCCCACUUGCCAGCAACAGCAACCUCAGCACUGCCCCUCUCAUCUUCUCCAUGUUUCCUCCAUCGUAAAUCCCUCGCUUCCUCAUCCUGGAUAUAAAAUAAUACAAAUGCUUUGAUGGGUAAUCCAAAUUUUUAGACCCGAGAGUGAGAGGUAUGUUGUCCUUCUAUCAAAGGAUGAUAAUGCUUGCUUCAAGUUUCAAGCAAUGAAAAAUCCUGAGUCUUCUUUCCCUUCCUUUUUGAUGAAGAUAAGGAUGAGCAACAGGCCAAGGAUGAGGAAUAGUGAGUUGAACAUGAAAGAGCUGUAAUUAUCAGCUUUGGAUGAGAUGGACAAGUGAUGAAGUUUGAGAUUGAAGGCUGGUUGGUCUCCUUAGCCAGAAGGAUUAGUUAGUUAGAGAGAAAUUAUUAAUAGUUUGUUUCCUAAACUUUCUGAAGUGUAGAGGAUAAGAUUGGGUUGUUUGCUAGUUGUUAUCAAGUUUAUGUUAUGAGUUAGGUGCUUAUCAUAAGUUGGAUUGCCCAUAUGUCGUGUCCUAUAUGCUAUUUAAAGGGAAACAAAUUAAUAAAGAUGGUACCAGAAAAUUAACACUCAAA
Long non-coding RNA from Quercus robur (English oak), 695 nucleotides. RefSeq lists it as uncharacterized. The record is from RefSeq and is a predicted model, not a curated record. Lineage: Eukaryota; Viridiplantae; Streptophyta; Magnoliopsida; Fagales; Fagaceae. The transcript has 2 exons.